GACGAACGCUGGCGGCGUGCCUAAUACAUGCAAGUUGAGCGAUGAAGAUUGGUGCUUGCACCAAUUUGAAGAGCAGCGAACGGGUGAGUAACGCGUGGGGAAUCUGCCUUUGAGCGGGGGACAACAUUUGGAAACGAAUGCUAAUACCGCAUAAUAACUUUAAACAUAAGUUUUAAGUUUGAAAGAUGCAAUUGCAUCACUCAAAGAUGAUCCCGCGUUAUAUUAGCUAGUUGGUGAGGUAAAGGCUCACCAAGGCGAUGAUACAUAGCCGACCUGAGAGGGUGAUCGGCCACAUUGGGACUGGGACACGGCCCAAACUCCUACGGGAGGCAGCAGUAGGGAAUCUUCGGCAAUGGACGAAAGUCUGACCGAGCAACGCCGCGUGAGUGAAGAAGGUUUUCGGAUCGUAAAACUCUGUUGGUAGAGAAGAACGUUGGUGAGAGUGGAAAGCUCAUCAAGUGACGGUAACUACCCAGAAAGGGACGGCUAACUACGU
RNAcentral lists this ribosomal RNA (496 nucleotides) under uncultured bacterium. RNAcentral describes it as "partial 16S ribosomal RNA". It matches the Rfam family "Bacterial small subunit ribosomal RNA", at positions 28 to 506 of the family's 1533-position model. The record is from RNAcentral.